UACAGAGGGCUCAAGCGUUGUUCGGAUUCAUUGGGCGUAAAGGGUGUGUAGGUGGCGCCGUAAGUCUGGUGUGAAAUUUCGGAGCUUAACUCCGAAACUGCAUUCGAUACUGCGGUGCUUGAGGACUGGAGAGGAGACUGGAAUUCAUGGUGUAGCAGUGAAAUGCGUAGAGAUCAUGAGGAAGACCAGUGGCGAAGGCGGGUCUCUGGACAGUUCCUGACACUGAGACACGAAGGCCAGGGGAGCAAACGGG
This 253-nucleotide ribosomal RNA is filed under the name uncultured bacterium. RNAcentral describes it as "partial 16S ribosomal RNA". It matches the Rfam family "Bacterial small subunit ribosomal RNA", at positions 524 to 776 of the family's 1533-position model. The record is from RNAcentral.